This 492-nucleotide ribosomal RNA is filed under the name uncultured bacterium. RNAcentral's name for it is "partial 16S ribosomal RNA". It matches the Rfam family "Bacterial small subunit ribosomal RNA", at positions 29 to 507 of the family's 1533-position model. The record is from RNAcentral.
AGUGAACGCUGGCGGUAGGCCUAACACAUGCAAGUCGAACGGCAGCACAGUAAGAGCUUGCUCUUACGGGUUGCGAGUGGCGGACGGGUGAGGAAUACAUCGGAAUCUACUUUUUCGUGGGGGAUAACGUAGGGAAACUUACGCUAAUACCGCAUACGACCUACGGGUGAAAGCAGGGGAUCUUCGGACCUUUCGCGAUUGAAUGAGCCGAUGUCGGAUUAGCUAGUUGGCGGGGUAAAGGCCCACCAAGGCGACGAUCCGUAGCUGGUCUGAGAGGAUGAUCAGCCACACUGGAACUGAGACACGGUCCAGACUCCUACGGGAGGCAGCAGUGGGGAAUAUUGGACAAUGGGCGCAAGCCUGAUCCAGCCAUACCGCGUGGGUGAAGAAGGCCUUCGGGUUGUAAAGCCCUUUUGUUGGGAAAGAAAAGCAGCAGGUUAAUACCCCGCUGUUCUGACGGUACCCAAAGAAUAAGCACCGGCUAACUUCGUG